RNAcentral lists this ribosomal RNA (511 nucleotides) under uncultured bacterium. RNAcentral's name for it is "partial 16S ribosomal RNA". It matches the Rfam family "Bacterial small subunit ribosomal RNA", at positions 28 to 523 of the family's 1533-position model. The record is from RNAcentral.
GACGAACGCUGGCGGCGUGCCUAAUACAUGCAAGUCGAGCGGAAGUUGGAGAGCUUGCUCUUCAACUUUAGCGGCGGACGGGUGAGUAACACGUGGGCAACCUGCCCUGCAGAUCGGGAUAACUCCGGGAAACCGGUGCUAAUACCGAAUAGUUUUCGCCACCUCCUGGUGGCGUACGGAAAGACGGUUUCGGCUGUCACUGCAGGAUGGGCCCGCGGCGCAUUAGCUAGUUGGUGGGGUAACGGCCCACCAAGGCGACGAUGCGUAGCCGACCUGAGAGGGUGAUCGGCCACACUGGGACUGGGACACGGCCCAGACUCCUACGUGAGGCAGCAGUAGGGAAUCGUCCGCAAUGGACGAAAGUCUGACGGAGCAACGCCGCGUGAGUGACGAAGGUUUUCGGAUCGUAAAACUCUGUUGUGAGGGAAGAACAAGUACCAACUAACUACUGGUACCUUGACGGUACCUCACCAGAAAGCCACGGCUAACUACGUGCCAGCCGCCGCCGUAA